Molecule: non-coding RNA, 481 nt
Organism: Linepithema humile (Argentine ant)
Lineage: Eukaryota; Metazoa; Arthropoda; Insecta; Hymenoptera; Formicidae
Source: RefSeq, a predicted model, not a curated record
AUCUGAUAGACUGUUGAUUCCUAGCCACGAGGAUAACGCAUCAAAUUUAUUACCGAUCUGAUUAACAUUUACUAAAAUUUAAAUAUUAAAAAUGAAAUAUUUUGCACAAAUAUUGUCUAUAACCGUGUUGAUAAUGAUUAUUUUAUCGUUAACGAUUUGUCAGAAAAAUGCCAGUGAAGAUUUUCCAACAUCAACGACUCGUUAUAAUUAUGCUGUUCCUGCUUAUUUCAUAACCGUACCACAAAGAGAGCAGGAAUGCCCGGAAAAUCAACGAAGGAAUCAACAUGGAAUAUGUCGAUCAGUGGUUUAACCUUAUUCAUAAAGAGCGAUGGAAUUAUAUUCAUCAGAUGAUUACUAAGACAAGAAUGCAAUUGAAGAUAUAAGGAUAAAUUACCAGAAUAUUAUAUGUGUUAACUUUGUUUUUAUCUCAACAAAUGUUUCUGAAAAUUAAUAUAAAAAUAAAUUUACUUUAUACAACGUA